RNAcentral lists this long non-coding RNA (2596 nucleotides) under Homo sapiens (human). RNAcentral's name for it is "HSALNT0387987". Lineage: Eukaryota; Metazoa; Chordata; Mammalia; Primates; Hominidae. The record is from RNAcentral.
UCUGUCUCCAAACACACAAACAAACAAACAAAAGUCUUAAAUUGAUUAGAGAUCUGGUCACCCCUUUAACCACAUAGGGAAGAGGCAAGGUCAGGGUAGAGGCAAGGGUAUCUGUCCUUCCCAUCUUUUACCCUGGAGCGACUACACACAGGGGCAGGGACCUUGCACGUAGGCCAACAGCCUUCUCGUCUUAAACAAAUCCCUGCCGAUGGGGCCACCAGGCCCUCUGCCCGGCCGCCUGCCUCCAGGCCGUCCCGUCCAGCAACAGAGGCGCCUGGGGCCGGGGAGGUGAGCGGCUUCUCCUUCUGCUUGUGGAGCAAUUUGAGAGUCUCCCUCCUGCUGGAGGGAAGGAAGCCCUUGGUGAGCCCAGAAGCUCUGUUGACAGUAAACAGCCCACAUGCACCCAGCAGAUGCCCAAACAGACACACCCAGGCUGUUCCUCUCCCUCUGGUCCCACCUGGGCCACCGUGGGUCAGGAGAGAGACAAACAGAUUAAGCACCCAGGAAGUGCCAAGGCGUGGGGUGGCCCUCUGCUCCCAGCCUGGAGCUUGACCCCGGGCCAGCCUGCUCUGCUCACCCCCGGCCAGGCUGCUCUGCUCCUCACCUGCACCUGUUUAUUAAACAGAUGCCUCCUCUGGGGUGGCCAGAAGUGGCCCAGCCCAGCCUGGCCAGAGAAGGUGAACUGAGAAGACAGGCAAGAGUUGGUGUGGCCAGUGAGUGCCAAGAACAGGAACAGGGCUGCUUAGGAGGAGACCCAGGGCCAGGGAGGACGUACACCGUUCAGCCCCACUCACAGAAGACGCACAAGAUCUUUACAGAGGAAUCAGGGAGAAAAGAGGGUGCUGUGGCCCCCCAGGCUCCCCUGAGGCAAAGAGGAGCCUCCCCACACCCCGGGGAGACAAAGGGAGGGGGGCCUCCAAGAUGAUGCUUGAGGGGGCCAAGAAGUACCUGGCUUGAGGUCCCCUCUAAAUUCCUGAGCUGCCCCCUUCCCUGACUAGUCGCUUUCCGAGCCCCCCCUCCAGGGUGCGGGCCCCUGGACAGCCCACCGAUGGCCCCUGCCCAGGAUCUCCCGUCUCUCAAAUCCUUAGUCUAUCCGGCAACAGGAAGCAGCAUCUCAGUCCUCAGUCCGGCAGGGGAGAUGUAGGUGAGAGGUCGGCUCAGACACAGAGCAAACAACAGGCAGGAGGGCACGGACAGGCAGAGGCCGUCCUGGGCUGACCAGGGCCUGGCCCCUGAGCAGUGGUCCCAGCAGCGGCUGCCGUGUGUGCAAUGAAAGUGUGUGCCAGCUGCCAUGCUCAACGGGUGUGCCCACGCCCACCCCAUAUUCCCCACGAGGAUACUGUCAGAGUGUCCCCGAGGGAUGCUCAGAGCAGGCUUCCACCUGAACCGCAGAGAGGCCCUCCCACCCAGCAGGAGCCACAUCUCCGCUGCUGUUCUAGCUCCUGGCGCCCUGCUUUCUUGGGGGCCCGACCACCCCCUGGAAUUAUACGGGUUACACAGGUAGCCGCAGCCCCCCAGGCUGACCCUGACCCUGUUGAAGCGGGGGCCACUGGACAACAGAGAAAACGAAGAAAGAGCUCAGGAGUGGGCCGUCACGUUGCCAUCCCAGAGGCCAAGAGGACACAGCUCCAGGAAGCCCCGUGCUUCUCGGGCUGAGAACCCAACUGGUCUCCUGCCCUCACCAGGGGGACGAGGGAGGCAUCCAGCAGCCAACACCUGGAGGACGUUGUGCAAAACCCAUUGCCAACUUCCCGCACCCAGGUCCCCAAACCCAGCCUGCCACGUCUCCCAGCAGGCAAGGAAGAACAAACUGCGGGGCAGCCGAGAAAUGAGCUGUUUCCUUCCUUCUGCCACCUCACCAGGCUGGAACCCAACACGGUGUCUGUGGCGAGAUUCUGGCUGGAGUCGUAAGAAAGAGUUCUAAGAACCUUUCAACAGGUUCAGGCAAAUUUUCUUUAGAGAACAAACUAAAGCAUCGUCCUAGAGUGACACGAAGCUGACAAAUUUGCAUCUCAAUCAGCCGGACACUGCUCAGGCUUUCACAAGUCUAAUUCAAUAAAUUCAAAAAUGGCCUAUCUGCUUCUCUGCAAUUCAGCCAUGCACCAAGUUUGAAAAUGUUAGACUGAAGCAGAAACCUUCACCCUAACUUCGCCAGGCACUCCCAGACGAGCCAAAUGCGGGGAUUUCUGGCCUGAAAGAAAACUGGUGAUGCAGACUCCAAGAAUCAAGGAGCAGUGUGACCAGAGAGAUAAGCUGUGUGGAAUCAGCAGCCUUCCCGCCCAGAACGUGGGCUCAGCAUGUUUGCCAGAUAAUAAGAAAAACCAAAAUUGGAGGCAGGAGCAAAAGUUCGGGAUAAGAAGUUGAUGUUCAACCCACAAUCCUGACCCUUCACCUUCACUUUGGUUUAGUGGAGUUACCUGUCAAGUCUGCCCAGGGCUUAAAACACCAACUCAGCACUGCGCUGGCACAAUCUCUGGGACUCCUCCCACUUAGACAGAGGAGGAAGCUGAGGUUGAGGCAGGAAUGAAAGGACCAGACCCAAUUCUGCCAAAACCAUACAAUCAAUUAAAUCCGUGGACAUUCUAUUAAAAAAAAA